RNAcentral lists this transfer RNA (72 nucleotides) under Marmota marmota marmota (Alpine marmot). It matches the Rfam family "tRNA". Rfam says of the family: Transfer RNA (tRNA) molecules are approximately 80 nucleotides in length. Their secondary structure includes four short double-helical elements and three loops (D, anti-codon, and T loops). RNAcentral also lists the same sequence under 3 other names. The record is from Rfam by way of RNAcentral. Lineage: Eukaryota; Metazoa; Chordata; Mammalia; Rodentia; Sciuridae.
UGGGGUGUUGCUCACGGGUAGAGCAUUUGCCUUGUAACAACAAAGCCCUAGGUUCAAUCCCCAGCACUGCAA